Molecule: small nuclear RNA, 170 nt
Filed under: Pelodiscus sinensis (Chinese soft-shelled turtle)
Lineage: Eukaryota; Metazoa; Chordata; Testudines; Trionychidae
Description: U2 spliceosomal RNA
Rfam family: U2 spliceosomal RNA
About the family: U2 is a small nuclear RNA (snRNA) component of the spliceosome (involved in pre-mRNA splicing). Complementary binding between U2 snRNA (in an area lying towards the 5' end but 3' to hairpin I) and the branchpoint sequence (BPS) of the intron results the bulging out of an unpaired adenosine, on the BPS, which initiates a nucleophilic attack at the intronic 5' splice site, thus starting the first of two transesterification reactions that mediate splicing.
Source: Rfam by way of RNAcentral
AGCUCUGCUGCGUUGUUGUAAGCUGCCAUCUGUGCUUAUCAGUUUAAUAUGUUCACUGAGAACUUUAUAUUAAAUGGAUUUUUGGAGCAGGGGGUCAGAAGAGGAGCUUGCUCCGUCCACUCCGCACGUCGACCUGGUAUUGCAGUACUUCCAGGAGCGGUGCACCUCCC